GCCUCCAAGGCAUCGACGGGUAGCUGGUCUGAGAGGAUGAUCAGCCACACUGGGACUGAGACACGGCCCAGACUCCUACGGGAGGCAGCAGUGGGGAAUCUUGCACAAUGGGCGAGAGCCUGAUGCAGCAACGCCGCGUGCGGGAAGACGGCCUUAGGGUUGUAAACCGCUUUCAGCAGGGAAGAAAAUGACGGUACCUGCAGAAGAAGAUGCGGCCAACUACGUGCCAGCAGCCGCGGUGACACGUAGGCAUCGAGCGUUAUCCGGAUUUAUUGGGCGUAAAGAGCUCGUAGGCGGUUCGGUAAGUCGGGUGUGAAAACUCUGGGCUCAACCCAGAGAGGCCACUCGAUACUGCUGUGACUAGAGUGCGGUAGGGGAGCGGGGAAUUCCUGGUGUAGCGGUGAAAUGCGCAGAUAUCAGGAGGAACACCAGUGGCGAAGGCGCCGCUCUGGGCCGUAACUGACGCUGAGGAGCGAAAGCAUGGGUAGCAAACAGGAUUAGGUACCCUGGUAGUCCAUGCCGUAAACGUUGGGCACUAGGUGUGGGUCUCAAC
Molecule: ribosomal RNA, 553 nt
Filed under: uncultured Actinomycetes bacterium
Lineage: Bacteria; Bacillati; Actinomycetota; Actinomycetes
Description: bacterial SSU rRNA
Rfam family: Bacterial small subunit ribosomal RNA
Source: RNAcentral